AGUUAACGCUGGCGGUAGGCCUAACACAUGCCAGUCGAACGGCAGCACAGUAAGAGCUUGCUCUUACGGGUGGCGAGUGGCGGACGGGUGAGGAAUACAUCGGAAUCUACUUUUUCGUGGGGGAUAACGUAGGGAAACUUACGCUAAUACCGCAUACGACCUACGGGUGAAAGCAGGGGAUCUUCGGACCUUGCGCGAUUGAAUGAGCCGAUGUCGGAUUAGCUAGUUGGCGGGGUAAAGGCCCACCAAGGCGACGAUCCGUAGCUGGUCUGAGAGGAUGAUCAGCCACACUGGAACUGAGACACGGUCCAGACUCCUACGGGAGGCAGCAGUGGGGAAUAUUGGACAAUGGGCGCAAGCCUGAUCCAGCCAUACCGCGUGGGUGAAGAAGGCCUUCGGGUUGUAAAGCCCUUUUGUUGGGAAAGAAAAGCAGCAGGUUAAUACCCCGCUGUUCUGACGGUACCCAAAGAAUAAGCACCGGCUAACUUCGUG
Molecule: ribosomal RNA, 492 nt
Filed under: uncultured bacterium
Lineage: Bacteria
Description: partial 16S ribosomal RNA
Rfam family: Bacterial small subunit ribosomal RNA
Source: RNAcentral